GGGGGCGUAGCUCAGGGGUUAGAGCAGGCGGCUCAUAACCGCUUGGUCGUUGGUUCGAACCCAACCGCCCCCACCA
This 76-nucleotide transfer RNA is filed under the name Candidatus Saccharimonadota bacterium. Its description in RNAcentral is "tRNA-Ile". It matches the Rfam family "tRNA". From Rfam's summary of the family: Transfer RNA (tRNA) molecules are approximately 80 nucleotides in length. Their secondary structure includes four short double-helical elements and three loops (D, anti-codon, and T loops). Lineage: Bacteria; Candidatus Saccharimonadota. RNAcentral also lists the same sequence under 1 other name. The record is from RNAcentral.